GCUCCCCUAGCUCAAUGGAUAGAGUAACAGUUUCCGGAACUGUUGAUGUGAGUCCGAUUCUCACGGGGAGCA
RNAcentral lists this transfer RNA (72 nucleotides) under Bacillota bacterium. RNAcentral describes it as "tRNA-Arg". It matches the Rfam family "tRNA". From Rfam's summary of the family: Transfer RNA (tRNA) molecules are approximately 80 nucleotides in length. Their secondary structure includes four short double-helical elements and three loops (D, anti-codon, and T loops). Lineage: Bacteria; Bacillati; Bacillota. The record is from RNAcentral.